GGCUCAGAUUGAACGCGGCGGGCAUGCCUUACCAUGCAAGUCGAACGGUAACGCGGGGCAACCUGGCGACGAGUGGCGAACGGGUGAGUAAUGCAUCGGAACGUGCCCAGUAGUGGGGGAUAGCCCGGCGAAAGCCGGAUUAAUACCGCAUACGACCUACGGGUGAAAGGGGGGGAUCGCAAGACCUCUCGCUAUUGGAGCGGCCGAUGUCAGAUUAGGUUGUUGGUGAGGUAAAGGCUCACCAAGCCGACGAUCUGUAGCUGGUCUGAGAGGACGACCAGCCACACUGGGACUGAGACACGGCCCAGACUCCUACGGGAGGCAGCAGUGGGGAAUUUUGGACAAUGGGCGCAAGCCUGAUCCAGCCAUGCCGCGUGCGGGAAGAAGGCCUUCGGGUUGUAAACCGCUUUUGUCGGGGAAGAAAUCUUCUGGGCUAAUACCCCGGGAGGAUGACGGUACCCGAAGAAUAAGCACCGGCUAACUACGUGCCAGCAGCCGCGGUAAUACGUAGGGUGCAAGCGUUAAUCGGAAUUACUGGGCGUAAAGCGUGCGCAGGCGGUGAUGCAAGACAGAUGUGAAAUCCCCGGGCUUAACCUGGGAACUGCAUUUGUGACUGCAUCGCUGGAGUGCGGCAGAGGGGGAUGGAAUUCCGCGUGUAGCAGUGAAAUGCGUAGAUAUGCGGAGGAACACCGAUGGCGAAGGCAAUCCCCUGGGCCUGCACUGACGCUCAUGCACGAAAGCGUGGGGAGCAAACAGGAUUAGAUACCCUGGUAGUCCACGCCCUAAACGAUGUCAACUGGUUGUUGGACGGCUUGCUGUUCAGUAACGAAGCUAACGCGUGAAGUUGACCGCCUGGGGAGUACGGCCGCAAGGUUGAAACUCAAAG
This 886-nucleotide ribosomal RNA is filed under the name uncultured bacterium. RNAcentral describes it as "bacterial SSU rRNA". It matches the Rfam family "Bacterial small subunit ribosomal RNA", at positions 21 to 906 of the family's 1533-position model. The record is from RNAcentral.